UACGGAGGAUGCGAGCGUUAUCCGGAUUUAUUGGGUUUAAAGGGUGCGUAGGCGGACUGUCAAGUCAGAUGUGAAAGCCCGGGGCUCAACCCCGGGACUGCAUUUGAAACUGUCAGGCUGGAGUGCAGGAGAGGUAAGCGGAAUUCCUAGUGUAGCGGUGAAAUGCGUAGAUAUUAGGAGGAACACCAGUGGCGAAGGCGGCUUACUGGACUGUAACUGACGUUGAGGCUCGAAAGCGUGGGGAGCAAACAGG
This 253-nucleotide ribosomal RNA is filed under the name uncultured bacterium. Its description in RNAcentral is "partial 16S ribosomal RNA". It matches the Rfam family "Bacterial small subunit ribosomal RNA", at positions 524 to 776 of the family's 1533-position model. The record is from RNAcentral.